This 1734-nucleotide ribosomal RNA is filed under the name Heterosigma akashiwo. RNAcentral describes it as "partial Bacterial large subunit ribosomal RNA". It matches the Rfam family "Bacterial large subunit ribosomal RNA", at positions 1 to 1980 of the family's 2925-position model. The record is from RNAcentral. Lineage: Eukaryota; Raphidophyceae; Chattonellales; Chattonellaceae.
AAAUAAAAAAAGCAUUAAACGGAUACCUUGACAAAAGAUUCUAUUGGAUGUUGUACAACAAAAAUUUUAGCUGAGCUGUAAUGCUGGGACGCUGAAAUGUCCAAUAAAAGAAAUUUUUCUCUUGGAAGUUUUCAGAAAAGUGAAUUGAAACAUCUUAGUAACUUUUUAAGAAAUCAAACGAGAUACUGAAAGUAGUGGCGAACGAACUCAGUACAGGCAAAAAACAUAGAUAAAACACCAAUUGAACCUCGAGACCAGAGAAGGUUUAAGUCCUGUAGAUCGGCAAAAACUGUGUUUUUAAGUAAAAGAGGUUGUACUCUUUGAACAAUGGGGGACCACCCUCAAAGCCUAAAUUUUGGUCUUUUGAUCGAUAGUGAACGAGUACUGUGAAGGAAAGGACAUACAUCCUAGGAUGUUUUGAAAUUUAAUGCUAGCAAUCGGUUGGAGCUUUAUAAAGUGACAGCGUACCUUUUGCAUAAUGGGUCAGCGAGUUUUUAAAAAAGGCAAGCUUUUAACGAGGCGAAGAAAAUACGAAUUUUAAAAAAUAACCAGUCUUUUUUAAAAGACCCGAAACUGAGUGAUCUAACCUUGAACAGGCUGAAGACAGAGUGGUAACAUUCGUUGGAGGGCCGAACCCGUGUCUGUGGCAACAUACUGGGAUGAUUUGAGGUUAGGAGUGAAAGGCUAAUCAAACUCAGAGAUAGCUGGUUUUCUGCGAAAUCUAUUUAAGUAGAGCGAUCAAGUAAAACUUUUUGGGGUAGAGCACUUUUUAGAUGAUGGGGCAAUUUCGCUUACUGAUUUUAAGAAAACUCCGAAUACAAAAAGCUCUGAACUUGAUCAGACAGACCAUGGGUGCUAAGGUCCAUGGUCAAGAGGGAAACAGCCCAGAUUGAUCGCUAAGGUCCCAAAGAAAUCUUUCAGUUUAAGGAAGUAAGAUUACGAAGACAACUAGUAGGUCGGCUUGGAAGCAGCCAUCCUUGAAAGAAAUCGUAACAGAUCACUGGUCGAGUAAUUUUGCACCGAAAAUUUAUGGGCAUUAAAAGAUUCGCCGAAGCGGCAAACUUUUUUAAGUGGUAGCAGAACGUUCUGUGAAAUCAAUGAAGAAAAUUUGAGAAAAUUUUUCGAGAAAUCAGAAGUGAAAAUGCUGACAUGAGUAACAAAAAACAAUGUACAGAAUCAUUGUGGCUGUAAAUCCAAGGGUUUUGACGGAAGGAUUAUCCGCGUCAUGCCAUCUUUCGAUGGACAUAUUAGACGGUCCCUAAGAACGCUGAUGACAAUCAGGUUUGAUGGGUUAAACGUUUCGUUUCUUUAAAAAAAUGACAGAUUCUUAAGAUUAUUUUUAGUUUAUAGAGGAAACUAAAGGUGGUGGACGAAUUUCAGGAAAAAGUUUUUUUACUGCACAAACCGUACCUUAAACCAACACAGGUGGAUGGGUGGAAUACACUAAAGCCAAUGAGAGAAUGAUGUUGAAGGAACUCGGCAAAAUGAUUCCGUAACUUCGGAAGAAGGAAUAACCUUGCGAGGGCAACCUUGCAAGGUUGGCACAGAAUUGGGGGUAGCGACUGUUUAAUAAAAACACAGGUCUCUGCAAAUUUGUAAAAAGAUGUAUAGGGACUGACACCUGCCCGGUGCUGUAAGGUUAAACUAUGCUGUUUUGGCAGUGUACAUAAGCCUCAGUAAACGGCGGCUGUAACUCUGACGGUCCAAAGGUAGCGAAAUUCCUUGUCGGGGACU